GAAACGCGAUAGUUAAUGUGAAUUACAGAAUUCAGUGAAUCAUCGAGUCUUUGAACGCACAUUGCGCCCAUAGGUAUUCCUUUGGGCAUGUCUGUUUGAGCGUCAUUACAACCCUCAGCUAACCGCUGGUUUUGAACCUGAACGGGUGACACCGCGCCGGUUUUAAAGUUGUAAGCUCUGCUGGCCGCUCUGCCCAACCAGAACAUAGUAAGCACUACUUGUCCGGGUGAAGCUGAACGGUACGGCCUGAACAAAACCUACCCACUCUCAAGGUUUGACCUCAGAUCAGACAAGGAUACCCGCUGAACUUAAGC
RNAcentral lists this unclassified non-coding RNA (314 nucleotides) under plant metagenome. RNAcentral describes it as "partial contains 5.8S ribosomal RNA, internal transcribed spacer 2, and large subunit ribosomal RNA". The stretch from base 1 to 105 matches the Rfam family "5.8S ribosomal RNA", at positions 50 to 154 of the family's 154-position model. The record is from RNAcentral.